GUCAGAGCGACACGGCCCAGCCGGGAAGCGAAGACAAAGUCCGAGAGAGACUCCCACUAAGGUGGGGGAUCCUCGCUGCCACUAGAGAAUGCAGCGGCUUUUAGCCGCCGGAUUCUUGCGCGGCAAAGUCGGGCGUGUUGUUUGAGAACUCAAUAGUGUGUUUGGUGGUUUUUGUUUGUUGUUUUUUGUCCGCCUCUUUUUCCCGUUUAGGGGUGGAUGUUUUUGAUGCCAGUUUUUGGUGUCG
This 244-nucleotide unclassified non-coding RNA is filed under the name Mycolicibacterium smegmatis. Its description in RNAcentral is "16S ribosomal RNA". The record is from RNAcentral. Lineage: Bacteria; Bacillati; Actinomycetota; Actinomycetes; Mycobacteriales; Mycobacteriaceae.